Molecule: long non-coding RNA, 177 nt
Organism: Pipistrellus kuhlii (Kuhl's pipistrelle)
Lineage: Eukaryota; Metazoa; Chordata; Mammalia; Chiroptera; Vespertilionidae
Exons: 3
Source: RefSeq, a predicted model, not a curated record
AGGCAUUUCCACAAACCUGAAAAGGAGGAUUGCUUGCUGCCAGGCAGCUCAGGGCAUCUAAUCUACAUGUUAUUGCCACCUGGUGGCCAAACACCUGGACAGCUGAAGGCAAUUCCCCAAUCUGACAAUGGAUUCUGUACCUAACCCUACCCUUUGAUGUAUGUCUAACUUGCCUUU